This 948-nucleotide ribosomal RNA is filed under the name Acinetobacter junii. RNAcentral's name for it is "bacterial SSU rRNA". It matches the Rfam family "Bacterial small subunit ribosomal RNA", at positions 89 to 1014 of the family's 1533-position model. Lineage: Bacteria; Pseudomonadati; Pseudomonadota; Gammaproteobacteria; Moraxellales; Moraxellaceae. The record is from RNAcentral.
UUUAGCGGGCGGAUCGGGUGGAGUAAUUGUCUUAGGAAUUCUGCCCCUAUUAGUGGGGGACAACCAUUCCGAAAGGGGAUGCUUAAUACCGCCAUACGUCCUACGGGAGAAAAGCAGGGGAUUCUUCGGACCCUUGCGCUUAAUAGAUGAGCCUAAGUCGGAUUAGCUAGUUGGUGGGGUAAAGGCCUUACCAAGGCGACGAUCUGUAGCGGGUCUGAGAGGAUGAUCCGUCCACACUGGGACUGAGACACGGCCCAGACUCCUACGGGAGGCAGCAGUGGGGAAUAUUGGACAAUGGGGGGAACCCUGAUCCAGCCAUGCCGCGUGUGUGAAGAAGGCCUUAUGGUUGUAAAGCACUUUAAGCGAGGAGGAGGCUACUGAGACUAAUACUCUUGGAUAGUGGACGUUACUCGCAGAAUAAGCACCGGCUAACUCUGUGCCAGCAGCCGCGGUAAUACAGAGGGUGCGAGCGUUAAUCGGAUUUACUGGGCGUAAAGCGUGCGUAGGCGGCUUUUUAAGUCGGAUGUGAAAUCCCCGAGCUUAACUUGGGAAUUGCAUUCGAUACUGGGAAGCUAGAGUAUGGGAGAGGAUGGUAGAAUUCCAGGUGUAGCGGUGAAAUGCGUAGAGAUCUGGAGGAAUACCGAUGGCGAAGGCAGCCAUCUGGCCUAAUACUGACGCUGAGGUACGAAAGCAUGGGGAGCAAACAGGAUUAGAUACCCUGGUAGUCCAUGCCGUAAACGAUGUCUACUAGCCGUUGGGGCCUUUGAGGCUUUAGUGGCGCAGCUAACGCGAUAAGUAGACCGCCUGGGGGAGUACGGUCGCAAGACUAAAACUCAAAUGAAAUUGACGGGGGCCCGCACAAGCGGUGGAGCAUGUGGUUUAAUUCGAUGCAACGCGAAGAACCUUACCUGGCCUUGACAUACUAGAAACUUUCCAGAGAUGGAUUGG